Molecule: long non-coding RNA, 1851 nt
Filed under: Ananas comosus (pineapple)
Lineage: Eukaryota; Viridiplantae; Streptophyta; Magnoliopsida; Poales; Bromeliaceae
Description: long non-coding RNA (ACOM_LNC018097)
Source: RNAcentral
GAAAACUGAAUUCAAUAAUUAUUUCAUGCUUUUCGGCUAUUUGAUAAAGUGACAAAGUGCUAGCUAGCUGAAAAUUAAUUGCAAUUUUAAUGUGAGAGGUUAAUUGAGAUAUUGGCUAAAAUAUAGAAGAAAAGAGUCCGGCUAUGGUGCAUGCAAAAGUACCAAGCACUUGGUGCUUGUAAGUUUUUUGCUGUAAGAUUUACCUCUUUGACCAUUUUCAUAUGUUAAAUCAUACUAUUACACUAACCACCCACUAAACCUUAUAUAGUAGCCCUAGCCUCUAUAUAUAUAUAUAUAUAGAGAGAGAGAGAGAGAGAGAGAGAGAGAGAGAGAGAGUUGAGCUAGAAUAUACCUAAAAGCAUGCACCAAGAUAUUGGUGCUUUUAGAUAGUGUUUGGAUUGGGUAUAAGGAGGGGAAUAAGGCCUUAUUCCCCUCCUUAUAUCUAAACACAAAUUUUUUUUCGUGCGAACAAUAGUUCCCACUUUAAUAGAUUAUCCCACUUUAACAAUAGUUCCCACUUUGGUAGGAUAACUUGUUAAAGUGGAAACUAUUGUUCCCACCCCUUAGGUGGAACAAGCUUGUUCCUGGAACAAACUUUGAGGAGAGAGGAAUAAGGUUGUUCCAGGAACAAGCUUCAGGGCGAGAGAGAAAGAGAGAGAGAAUUUUAAAUAUGUAAUUUUAAAUUUAUUACUAAAUUUAUAGUUUUAAUUUCAAAACUAAAAUUUAUAAUUUUUUAAAUUCCAAAUUUCAAAUUUUAGAUUCUAAAAUUUUCAAAUUUAAAAUAUGAUAUUUUAUAUUUUUUAAAUUUAAAAUUUGAUAUUUUCUAAUUUUUAAAUUUAAAUUUGAUCUUAAAUUUAAAAUUUAAAAUUUUAAAAUUUAUAAUUUGAGAUUUUAAAUUUUAUAUUUUAAAUUUAAAUAUUGAAAUUUAAAGAUUAAAAUUUAAAAAUUAAAAUAUAAAAUUUAAAAAUUUAAAUUCAAAUUUAAUGAGAGGAGUAAUAUCAUAAUUUUUUAUUUAUAACUACCAACUAUUUUGUUUUAUUCCAUUUUAUUUAUCCAAACAUUGUUUAAUUUUCUUAUUCCCGAUAACAACCCAAUUUUCAUAUAAACGCAAAAUUGGUCUAAUUCUUGCUUAUAUCUGAACUUGUAUCUAUCCCUGAAAUAAACUGUUCUUACUUAUACUCGAACCAAAUGAAGCCUUAGGUUUCUAGUCCUUGGAUCUAGCCCUUGUCUAUUAUUACCUUUCGGAUCAAUUACUAUUCAACCUACCACCACCUACCCCCACUAACCCGAAGUGACCUACUAUAUAUCAUCCUAGCCCUAUAUCAUGACCUCUAUCCUAUGCUUUUAAAAGUACCCGGUUACUGGUGCUUGUAGAUUUUCAGCCUUUGGAUGAAAAUUUGUAGGGAUAGAAUAAUAGUAGUCCCCUAAGGUUUAAUAGGUGGUUGGUGGAAUAACAUGAUCUAAGGGGUAAAAUUGAUUAAAAAAAAAAAUCUAACGGUGGGAAACUUGCAAGCACCAAUUGCUUGAUGCUUUUAAAAGCACUAUAGCUGGAUUAUAUAUGUAUAGAGUUAGGCUGGUAUGCUUUUAGAACAGAGGCCCUCCGUACUUUCAAGUCCAUUUUGAUGUUGGGACAUCCGAAUGUAAUACAUGAGAAUUUAAAUUUGGAAUUUGAAUAUGAUUUCGAAUAUAUAUAACUUAUAUAUGUGUAUAUAUAUGUGAAUGGAUUGAGAGAUGAUUGGAUUGCGAAUCGGGAACCGAUUCUGGCGAAACAAAAUCGAAGGUUUGAAAGUCAAGCAGUGCCGGAAGUACUGGCACGAUCUGUUCAUAAAUCUGACGAACCGAUCGUCCGGA